Molecule: transfer RNA, 74 nt
Filed under: Planctomycetaceae bacterium
Lineage: Bacteria; Pseudomonadati; Planctomycetota; Planctomycetia; Planctomycetales; Planctomycetaceae
Description: tRNA-His
Rfam family: tRNA
About the family: Transfer RNA (tRNA) molecules are approximately 80 nucleotides in length. Their secondary structure includes four short double-helical elements and three loops (D, anti-codon, and T loops).
Source: RNAcentral
GUGGCUAUAGUUCAGUUGGUUAGAACGCCAGAUUGUGGAUCUGGAGGUCACGGGUUCGAGCCCCGUUAGCCACC